AGGCCAUCCAUCCUUCCCCACAGAGCAUUACUGAGCAUUAAAUGUCAUAUUUACAUAUUCAGUAGCAGUUAAUCCCAGACAUGCAUCUGUGGAUAGGAGAGAGCUACACGCUUUCCUGAUAAUCUGGUUUCAUAUGAAGACAAAAGUUAAAGUAGGACAGACGAGUGAUAAUCUACCAAAGAUUUUGAGUAGAGCAUUCUUAACAUUCCCAUUCUUCCACUGAGAGCAGGACAAAAUCAGAAUUCCUGGCCAGAACUACGGCCACAAGAGCUGGUGUGAGAGAAAGAUUAUGAAAAGGUGUGCCCAAGAAUGUGCAAAUG
Long non-coding RNA from Symphalangus syndactylus (siamang), 320 nucleotides. RefSeq lists it as uncharacterized. The record is from RefSeq and is a predicted model, not a curated record. NCBI's taxonomy places the organism in Eukaryota, Metazoa, Chordata, Mammalia, Primates, Hylobatidae.